CGGGACGGGUGAGUAUUGUCUGGGAAACUGCCUGAUGGAGGGGGAUAACUACUGGAAACGGUAGCUAAUACCGCAUAACGUCGCAAGACCAAAGAGGGGGACCUUCGGGCCUCUUGCCAUCGGAUGUGCCCAGAUGGGAUUAGCUAGUAGGUGGGGUAACGGCUCACCUAGGCGACGAUCCCUAGCUGGUCUGAGAGGAUGACCAGCCACACUGGAACUGAGACACGGUCCAG
Molecule: ribosomal RNA, 233 nt
Filed under: uncultured bacterium
Lineage: Bacteria
Description: partial 16S ribosomal RNA
Rfam family: Bacterial small subunit ribosomal RNA
Source: RNAcentral